This 1562-nucleotide long non-coding RNA is filed under the name Homo sapiens (human). RNAcentral's name for it is "HSALNT0225623". Lineage: Eukaryota; Metazoa; Chordata; Mammalia; Primates; Hominidae. The record is from RNAcentral.
AAACAAGUCACUUGGUGGCUCUAAGGAACUCCGGGAAGCACCGGGGUGGCUUGUCCUCCUUCACUCCCUCAUAGCGCCCUGUUAGACACCCUCACUUGUCUGUCUUCCCUGCCGGACCGUGAGCGGGAGGAGGAUCACGCAUUGACCACACGUCUACCAAGUGUUUUCCCUGAGCCAGGUCCCGGGAGGGAGGGCCCCUGUGCUCACCUGCAUCCCAGAACUAGUGUGGAAGCAGCUGCUCUGGAAGCCUUGGCAGGGCUGCUGAAGCAAACCUCUCCCUCUGGUCUGCCUUCCUCAUACUCAGCCUUUAAAAUUCGCCCCAGCUACCUUCUCCAGGGAUGGAAGUGGACAUUAUGCCAGGCAAGAGUGACAGUAUAUUCAAUCCUUGGGAACAUCUUAAAAGCUGAACUCGAGUAUUUUGGGCCCUAAGAAGGAAGGACAAAGAUCCCUGGAGAACUCUCCUGUGGUGUCCUUGUUUUGAGUAGCAAUGGAGGGCAUGUCAUUGGUGGUACACUUUACAGUUAUCAAAUACUGAGGCUAGAUCAUGAAGGAACUAGAGGAUGAAUGGACAUUACCCCUGGAUGCUGGUCUUGAACACAGAUGCCGUAACCAUAAUCCUUCAGGUUGUCCAACUUCUGGAAUGGCUGUUUUCAUCUUGGCCCCAGGAGCUUGUCCUCAUUUUCUGAGGCGACAGAAGAGGAACUGAGAACCCAAAUUCUUUGUGCAAUGCAGGCUCUCUGGGUGUCAAAUACCCAUAAAACCAUUGCAUCCCGGCCUCAAGGUGGUGGUAUUUGCCUCCCACUCUCAAAGGAACAUCUGGAAGCCUGAAUGGAGAAGGAGGGCUGAUCAGCCAUCAGCUCAGCUGGGGCAGUGUUCCCUGACCUGUCAGCUCUUCCCCUUCAGACCUCAGAGGAUAGAGAGGGUCAGCUGGCAACCUCCACUGAGCCUGUGAACCAGUCCCAGGAGCUUCUCCAGCAGGUGUUUGUCCUUAGGCGGAGAUGUUUCCUGGAUGCCUCACUCCUUUGCCUCUCAAGGAUAAAUGCCCCGAUGACAGAAACCCCCAGCCCCUGCCCAGUGACAGGAAGUGCUGACUUCAACACUGGGUCCUGCCAUUUACCAGAGAGCCCUUGAAGAAAAAAUCAAGAGGAGAAAGGCCCAAAAGAAAGAAAACACGGUGGGCCAGAAAAAUUUCAUCAGGCAGAUUGCUUCAAGAUGAAGACCAACCAGAGAAAAUAUUCCCAGGAGUUAAAAUACGCAGCACGUUUUAGAUACCAAUGACGGCGAUUUGCUUUCUCUUCAUUUCUGUCUUCACAUUGCUGACAACUCCCCUCAUUGUCUUAAAUAUGGAUUGCCAAAGUCAAUUAAAUACGCAAGAGGAACAUUGUACAUUUUGGAGGAAAGUAAUUAUUGUUACACCUUAGAGCAGCUUAAUGAAUACAUUAAUAAACGAUCCUUCGCCAUGUUUUUCUUUUCAUAGCCAUCAAAAUCUUUAUAAAACCUACAGCACAAUACAUAACAUCUCGUUACAAGAUUUGCUUUUAAAAAAAUCAAUGCAUACCUAA